Equus caballus (horse) is the source of this 2084-nucleotide long non-coding RNA. Lineage: Eukaryota; Metazoa; Chordata; Mammalia; Perissodactyla; Equidae. The record is from Ensembl.
GGAAACUCGGAUGGUGCUUCUACACCACAGGUCGGCCGGGCUUUCCCAGGAGCGCUGUGGAGUCACGUCCUAAGCGUUGAUGAAGCACCCGCAGGAGCCAGGCACCGCCUGGAGUUAGAGUUACAAACACCCGGAAGACUCGGUUCCUGAUGGCGAGGUGCUCCUUGUGUUGCUGGGGGAGGAGCGCUGGGAUGAGGAGACAGUCACAAGGCAUUUCUAACCUUAGGUGGAAGUUUGAAGAAAGGUGUGCCUGCUCAGAGGAAGGAGGACCUGACUGGAAGAGAAGAGAGGUCUUCAACCAGCUCCUGGCAGAUUCAGCUGGGUGUCCUGUAUUUCAUCUAACAACCAUAUCCUGGAGAGAACAAUGAAUCUGCCUGCUGCGGUAGAGGCUGAGGAUGGUGAAGAAGACAGCGGAAUGAUUAGGAAGGAUUUUGAAUGCCAAGUGGAGGAGUUUGAACUUCAUCUGAUAUCAGACGCAUGCUGGAGAGCUAGUGGGUUUUUGGCUAGGGAAUGACAGGGUCAGAUUCAUUUUGAGCAAUUUCCAGUUUUCUUUAACCAGUGCACCUGAGCAAGAGCACAUUAUCGUCACAAAGUAGCCUGCCACACUCUCAUUCACAGACACAUCAGCCACUUCUACCUGCUUUGCAGGUGAAAAACUGGCUAUUCCUGCCCAGGAACAUUAAGAGACUGUUUAUUUCAAUCAAUCAUUUUUCUAAAUACAUUAUCUCAUUCUAUAGCUGAAAAGUGGGAGGGGAGCAACAUCAAAGGAUUUACUUCAGCCCCAUCUAAGAAACCAAACACAUGCACCCCUUGUUCACCCUCCUCUGGUUGUCGCCCGUGGACCCAGAAGUCUCAGGCAUCUGACGCUCUGAAUGUCUGCCCAGAUGCCCAUCUCUGGAGAGAACAUGCUGAAAUGUUUGAGUUUGCACAGUUCAUUAAAUACCCUUCAGAAGAGCUCCCUGAUUCUCACAAAGGUCACCUUGGUUUCUUCUAGAGUCUGCAAAAUUCCUUUCUUUGGAGACGUUUUCUGUGUGAUGUCUACACAGGAAGAAGCUGACAGCAGUAGCUUGAAGAACCCAGUGACAGUCGCGGGGAGAGCAUUUGGCAAAAAACUGAUCACAAGAACUCUGUUCUCUGAAUCUGAUUUCAGUGAAAACACAGAGAAUAACUUUAAAUAGUCCGAUCAAGUUGAUACAAAAAUGGUGUUUAGAAACUGUUUGGACUGAUGGGAAAGAUAAAAACUAUGUGUGAAAAGACCAGAACGAGAUGAUAGGAAAAGCACUGCAUUAAGAAUCAACACAUCUAUUCCCUGAUCUUAGUUUUAGGGCUUUCAAAAUUGAGAUGUAAUUGACAUAUAACAUUGUAUCAGUUUCAAGUGUACAACGUAAUGAUUCAUUGUUUGUAUAUAUUGCAAAAUCAUCACACAAUAAGUCUAGUUAAUGACCAUCACCACACGUAGUUACACAUUUCUUGUUGUUGUGAUGAGAACUUUUAAGAUCUGUUCUCUCAGCAACUUCCAAAUAUCCAACAUGGUAUUGUUAAGUAUAGUCACCAUGCUGUGCAUGACAUCCCAAGCACUUAUUUAUCUUGUAACUGGAAGUUUGUACCUUUUGACCCCCCUUCGCCCGUUUUGACCACCCCACACCCCUGCCUAUGGUAACCACCCAUCUGUUCUCUGCAUCUAUGAGUCUGGUUUUUUGUUUGGGUUUUUUUUUUGGUUUGGUUUGGUUAAGUUUCACAUGUGAGAUCAUACCGUAUUUGUCUUUCUCUGUCUGACAUAUUUCACUGAGCAUAAUGCCCUCAAGGCCCAAUGAAAAAUUCUUUUCUUCUCCCUCUGUUUUUCAGGAACCCUUAUAAAGUAAAAGAAGGGAAUUGGAAAUUAUUGUUUCCAAUAUUUCUUCCUGUUUGGGGAUUCUAAGUAUUUAUAGUUGACUGGAACUUGGAAAUGAGCAUAAUAAAAGGAAUAUGGGACUUCUGUUUGCAUUUAAGACAAAUUUUGGCAUCUGACAUUAAAACUAAUUGAUUCAUUUAUCCAACAGAAAGUUAUCGACCACCUACGUGUGUCAAGUCCUCUCUUUGGCAGC